UGUUAAAAUUUUUAUUUAUUUCUACAAUUAAAAACUAACGUGAUUAAUGAAAUAACUAGAUAGUUACAUAUGGCGUGCCUCAUGUUACUCAUGCUGAUCUACAUGAACCAGGUUUUAAUGGUAAAAAUAGAUGCAAUUUUUAACA
This is a non-coding RNA of Gossypium raimondii (Peruvian cotton), 145 nucleotides long. Lineage: Eukaryota; Viridiplantae; Streptophyta; Magnoliopsida; Malvales; Malvaceae. The record is from Rfam.